AGCGAACGCUGGCGGUAUGCUUAACACAUGCAAGUCGAGCGCGAAAGUGACUUCGGUCAUGAGUAGAGCGGCGGACGGGUGAGUAACACGUGGAUAAUCUGCCUUUAGGACUGGGAUAACCCUGGGAAACUAGGGCUAAUACCGGAUAAGACCACAGGUUCCAUGGAACCAGGGGUAAAGGCGGCCUUCGGCUGUCGCCGAAAGAUGAGUCCGCGUCCCAUCAGGUAGUUGGUGAGGAACGGCUCACCAAGCCGAAGACGGGUAGCCGACCUUAGCGGGUGAUCGGCCACACGGGGAC
RNAcentral lists this ribosomal RNA (298 nucleotides) under uncultured bacterium. Its description in RNAcentral is "partial 16S ribosomal RNA". It matches the Rfam family "Bacterial small subunit ribosomal RNA", at positions 29 to 319 of the family's 1533-position model. The record is from RNAcentral.